Molecule: long non-coding RNA, 805 nt
Organism: Rhopilema esculentum
Lineage: Eukaryota; Metazoa; Cnidaria; Scyphozoa; Rhizostomeae; Rhizostomatidae
Source: RefSeq, a predicted model, not a curated record
AGAGACGUGAAUGAGAAAGCAUGUCUGAAAGGAAGAGGUCAAUCGAUUCCUGCUCGCUAUAGGUCACGUUCAAGUGUGGUUGGUGAUAAGGAAGAUCUAAAGGAAAGACAGAUGAUCGCGGAUGUUUACUCCAUAGCAAAUAAAAUGCAAACUCAAAGCACAUUUUCAUCAUUGCUUACGUAACAGCACGCAUGGAAAUCAAAUUAAAGUAAUUCUUUACUUGCAUAUGUGCGAAACAUCUCCGGUAGGUCUAUUUAUCCUUCGCUUAAGGCAAACAAGCCAUUAGUAUAAAUAAGGUGCUGGAUCUCUUAAUCAUUACCUACAGAAAGCAAAGACGACAUCAGAACUCCAAGUAUCACAAAACAACAAAUAACUACAAUGGCAUUGAAAAUUGCAUCAGUUCUUAUUCUAUCUAUGCUCCUGUCUUGUGUCUUAUCAAUGACGAUCGAAAGGGAGCUGGCAGACUCAGUCAAAGAUGGAUUUUCCAUUUUCAAAAAGUCUACUUGCAAAAACGAUUGCUGGGGCAAAUUUGAAAGUUGCAUAAAGGCAGGUGAAACGCUGGCUGAUCAUUUGGUCUGCUUAGAAGCCAAAGAUGGAUGUUAUCAGGCAUGUUGAGCUUAAGCUAGCUGGCUAGCGUAAUCUUCAGUCAAGAUUUACACGUCUUUUUAGAAACAGUUAACAAAUUGGCAUUGUUGCAAUGCAAUUUCCUGUCAAACUUAGGAUAGCUCUGUGCUAAAAAUAUUGCUGUAAUUAUGCAGAAUAGAUGUAUUUAGUAAUAAUUUAUUUUUGAGAUGAAUUUCGAAAA